Molecule: ribosomal RNA, 885 nt
Filed under: Gigaspora margarita
Lineage: Eukaryota; Fungi; Glomeromycota; Glomeromycetes; Diversisporales; Gigasporaceae
Description: eukaryotic LSU rRNA
Rfam family: Eukaryotic large subunit ribosomal RNA
Source: RNAcentral
ACCUUAAGUCAUGUGAGAGUACCCGCUGAACUUAAGCAUAUCAAUAAGCGGAGGAAAAGAAACUAACAAGGAUUCCCCUAGUAACGGCGAGUGAAGCGGGAAGAGCACAAAUUUAAAAUCUACCUGGUUUUCAGGUCGAGUUGUAAUUUGAAGAUACGUUUUUGACGUUCUGGGUUGGACUAAAUCCUUUGGGAUAAGGUAUCAUAGAGGGUGAGAAUCCCGUAUAUACCAACCGUAGGGAUGUUAUUAAAUACGUUUCUAAGAGUCGAGUUGUUUGGGAAUGCAGCUCUAAAUGGGUGGUAAAUUUCACCUAAUGCUAAAUAUAAGCGAGAGACCGAUAGCGAACAAGUACAGUGAUGGAAAGAUGAAAAGAACUUUGAAAAGAGAGUUAAAUAGUACGUGAAAUUGUUGAAAGGGAAACGAUUGAAGUCAGUCAUGCCGGUGGGAAUCAACUUAGGGGAAACUCUGGGUGCACUUCUUCGCUUGGCAGGUCAACGUCGAUUUUGAAUGUCAUAAAAUAAUUGGGGGAAGGUAGCUCCUUCGGGAGUGUUAUAGCCCUUGAUAGAUGUGAUGUUUGAGGUCGAGGAUUGCAACGGAUACCCUUCGGGGCUAGCUGCCUGAUCUCUAAUUGGUGUUGGGUUACGGAUAGCAUGCUGACCGUGAUCUAAUUACUGGUUAAAAGGUUAGAGUGUGCAUAAAUUCGUUAAGGACGUUGACGUAAUGGCUUUAAACGACCCGUCUUGAAACACGGACCAAGGAGUCUAACAUGUAUGCGAGUGUUAGGGUAUUAAACCCAGACGCGAAAUGAAAGUAAGUGUAGGUGGGAUCCUUUAUUGGAGCACCAUCGACCGAUCUUGAGAUUUAUCGAUAGAAUUGAGUUAGAGC